GGCGGACGGGUUAGUAACGCGUGGGAACGUGCCCUUCACUGCGGAAUAGCCACUGGAAACGGUGAGUAAUACCGCAUACGCCCUUCGGGGGAAAGAUUUAUCGGUGAAGGAUCGGCCCGCGUUAGAUUAGAUAGUUGGUGGGGUAACGGCCUACCAAGUCUACGAUCUAUAGCUGGUUUUAGAGGAUGAUCAGCAACACUGGGACUGAGACACGGCCCAGACUCCUACGGGAGGCAGCAGUGGGGAAUCUUGGACAAUGGGCGCAAGCCUGAUCCAGCCAUGCCGCGUGAGUGAUGAAGGCCUUAGGGUCGUAAAGCUCUUUCGCCAGAGAUGAUAAUGACAGUAUCUGGUAAAGAAACCCCGGCUAACUCCGUGCCAGCAGCCGCGGUAAUACGGAGGGGGUUAGCGUUGUUCGGAAUUACUGGGCGUAAAGCGCACGUAGGCGGAUCAGAAAGUUGGGGGUGAAAUCCCGGGGCUCAACCCCGGAACUGCCUCCAAAACUCCUGGUCUUGAGUUCGAGAGAGGUGAGUGGAAUUCCGAGUGUAGAGGUGAAAUUCGUAGAUAUUCGGAGGAACACCAGUGGCGAAGGCGGCUCACUG
This 599-nucleotide ribosomal RNA is filed under the name Marinovum algicola. RNAcentral describes it as "bacterial SSU rRNA". It matches the Rfam family "Bacterial small subunit ribosomal RNA", at positions 97 to 731 of the family's 1533-position model. The record is from RNAcentral. Lineage: Bacteria; Pseudomonadati; Pseudomonadota; Alphaproteobacteria; Rhodobacterales; Roseobacteraceae.